RNAcentral lists this ribosomal RNA (433 nucleotides) under uncultured bacterium. RNAcentral describes it as "partial 16S ribosomal RNA". It matches the Rfam family "Bacterial small subunit ribosomal RNA", at positions 29 to 507 of the family's 1533-position model. The record is from RNAcentral.
AACGAACGCUGGCGGCAUGCCUAACACAUGCAAGUCGAACGAUACCUUCGGGUCUUGUGGCGCUCGGUUGCGUAACGCGUGGGAACCUGCCCUUAGGCUCUGUAUAACUCCCCGAAAGGGGUGCUCUUACCGGAUCAUGUCUUCGUACCUAAGAUUUAGCGCCUCUGGAUGGGCCCGCGUUGGAUUUGCUAGUUGGUAGGGUAAAAGCCUACCAAGGCGACGAUCCAUAGCUGGUCUGAGAGGAUGAUCAGCAACACUGGGACUGAGACACGGCCCAGACUCCUACGGGAGGCAGCAGUGGGGAAUAUUGGACAAUGGGCGAAAGCCUGAUCCAGCAAUGCCGCGUGAGUGAUGAAGGCCUUAGGGUUGUAAAGCUCUUUUACCCGGGAUGAUAAUGACAGUACCGGGAGAAUAAGCUCCGGCUAACUCCGUG